UCUAAUUAGCUCAGCUGGUUCCUGUGUCAGUCUCCACCACUGCCUCAGUAUUUACGCUCCUUGUUUUUAAUUUUUCACACUGGAUGUGUAUGUUGUGCUCCUUCGGGUUCCGUGUCCUGCUCUCCUAGUGUUUACCUGCGACGCGGCUCCAUUCCACUCGAUUUGGCUCUACUUGGCUCCACCUCCUCCAAGAUUGGUUGUUGCUUCCUCGGCCUCCAUCCAAUCAGCAAUCAUCUACAUGCAAUUAGAUGGCUGUGAAGCUCCAUUUCAG
This is a long non-coding RNA of Girardinichthys multiradiatus, 271 nucleotides long. RefSeq lists it as uncharacterized. The transcript is spliced from 3 exons. The record is from RefSeq and is a predicted model, not a curated record. Lineage: Eukaryota; Metazoa; Chordata; Actinopteri; Cyprinodontiformes; Goodeidae.